This 1212-nucleotide ribosomal RNA is filed under the name Triticum aestivum (bread wheat). RNAcentral describes it as "partial small subunit ribosomal RNA". The record is from RNAcentral. Lineage: Eukaryota; Viridiplantae; Streptophyta; Magnoliopsida; Poales; Poaceae.
AUGGCGGCUGCGGCUGCACGGCUGCUGCUCCCCAGGGCGACCAGGGCUGCGGCCUCCUCCUCCUCUCUUCUCCAGCGCCCUCUCCAUUCCUUCUCCAGAUGCUUCAGAAGCCUCCUCCCGCGGCCGCCGCCCGCCGUCUUCCCGCGGCACCUCUCCGACGCUGCCUUCGACGCGCAGGCGCUGGACAACCGCGUCCCCGCUACCGUCAUCACCGGCUUCCUCGGCUCCGGCAAGACAACCCUCCUGAAUCACAUUCUAACAUCACAGCAUGGGAAGAGGAUUGCUGUCAUCGAGAAUGAGUUUGGUGAGGUGGAUAUCGAUAGCUCACUUGUGGCUAACCAUUCAUCCGUCGCUGAAGACAUUGUGAUGGUGAAUAAUGGCUGCUUGUGCUGCACUGUCCGAGGGGAUCUUGUAAAGAUGCUUCUGAAGCUGGUCAAGCAAAAGGGAGACAAAUUUGAUCAUAUCGUCAUUGAGACAACAGGUCUUGCAAAGCCUGGUCCUGUUAUUGAGACCUUUUGUUCUGAUGAAUUGGUCUCGAAAUAUGUGAAACUUGAUGGUGUUGUUACUUUGGUUGAUUGUAAGCAUGCCAUGCAACAUUUGAAUGAGGUGAAAGCAAGGUGGGUUGUGAACGAGGCAGUAGAACAAGUUGCUUAUGCAGAUCGGAUUAUAUUGAACAAGACUGAUUUGGUUGAUGACACAGAACUUGAGGUUUUGACCAACAAGAUCAAGCUCAUAAAUGGGAUGGCGCAAAUGAAAAAAGCAAAGUUUGGUGAUGUUGACAUGGAUUUUGUGCUAGGAAUUGGCGGUUAUGACCUUGAUAGGAUUGAGGCUGCAGUCCAAUUGAAUGAAAACAAAGAGACAGGGCAUUGCCACUUGGGACAUGAGCAUGGACGCCAUCAUGACCAUGUCCAUGAUACAGCUGUUACCAGUGUAAGUAUUGUUUCAGAGGGAUUACUUGAUCUUGAUGAGGUUAAUGAUUGGCUGGAGAGACUGGUUGAGGAGAAAGGCGAAGAUCUGUACAGAUUAAAGGGUGUUAUAUCCGUCAACGAGUCAACUGGACGCUUCGUGUUUCAGGGCGUGCACUCCAUGUUGGAAGGUUGCCCAGCGAAGCCGUGGGAGGAUGAUGAGAAGAGGAUCAGCAAGCUCGUGUUUAUCGGCAGGAAUCUGGACGAAGGCGCGCUAAGGAAGGCCUUCAAAGGUUGCCUGUUGUGA